GAAAAGCCUCGGCUCACACAGCCGUCCAGACCCAGUAUUCUACACCAAAAUCCCAGGUAAAUUGGCUUCGUCUCCCCGCUCUGCGGCGAUGGAAGAAGGAGGAGGUGCAGAGCACCGCGAAUUCCAUCGCCACGGCCUCGCGCAGCCGCCUCGCCCUUCUCCGGCAUCUCGCGAUCCAUGGCAGGUUCGAGACACCCCCACCUCCUUGGCUCCGCCCUAGCCUCUCCCUCGUAGCUCUACUGGAUUCGCUCCGCUUACACCGUGCGAUGGCAGAGGCGAAUUGGGGCGUCGUUUGGUGUAUUCUGAUGGCGAUUCGUACGGUUCAGGUUCGUGAGAGCCGGUGAUUGAUUCGGCGCUGUUUGUGGUUCCGUCCCGGCAUUUUUGUGCGCCUCUGCCUACGAAGUGAGGCUUCGUGUGGUUUGUUUUCGGGGCAGUAGAGUUGCGUGUGGCUUCGUUAUGAUCAUUUGAUUGAUAGCUUUGAUUAGUCACCUCCUGAGUCGGGGUUUGUUCAUCAUCGUUUGAUACGAAGCGAGUUUUUUUGUCGAAUUGGUAGGCAUGUGCGGGAGCAGUUACCUGUUCUGUAUUACGUUUGGAGCCUGUUUCUGCAAUCUGAGCUAUCAAGUGUCCGAUCAUCAUCUACAAUCUGAGCAGUUAUUACCUGUUCAUGCCGUGCUCUGUAGAUUCCCGAGUCAAUUGCAAUAUCUUACACACAGCUCUGAUCAAAUUUUUGGAAUGUAUACAUGUGGAUCUCUAUUGCAGUUGUCUCAUAUGAAAUCCUGUUUGCAUAGCUGUUGCGCUAUGUUUAUGUCGCUGGGUUGUUGUGGUAAUUUUAUUUUUUAGCGAAUCACCUCAACAGCCUUCCGUUUUGCCUUGAAUCGGUGAAUCCAUUUGAUGCCAACUGCCCAAUCAUGUCUCGCUGUAGAGUUCAUGCGCUGAUAGUAGCCACCAAUAUCAGUUAAAAUGAAUGUUUCAGGGAAUGUAACUACUCUGGUAAUAUCAGUUAAAAUGCUUAAUAAGAAAUAUUGUCCACGUCUGUGUGAUCCAUGCCGUUGAAAGACAUGGCCAUCAAAUAGCUUGUUCACCCAACUAAAGUUCUAAUUAUCAUUCCAAAUGGUGUAUGAAUAUUUGAUUCUUCUAGAAAACAAACAACUGUUUGACCGAAGAAAACGAAUAAUUCCAUUUCUGUUUUUCUAUCUUACGAUCAGGAAUGUUUCAUUCUAUUUGAUUGAGAAAUAGUUAUUGAAAUCUUGCCAUUAUUUCAGACGUUUGUUGGAACAGACAGAUUAGUCAACAAAGAAAAAUUAAGUGGCGGAGAAUCUUCCUAAAAUGAAAUCAAGACGAUGAGAUAAGCAUGGAGAUUUAAUGUGGUUUGUUGGAGAUGCUUAAGGUAGGAGAUGAAGGACAGUUGGAAGGGGAUAAUGGAGGACAAUUAUAGCUUCACUAGAGCCUGGGGCGGAGAGGUGGGGGCCGUCUCUGCAGGUUCGCAGUGCAGCUGGGCCAAACAUCGCUUACAGUUUAAGCUGUAGCCUGUUAUGAAGUAAAAGCUGCGGAGGUACAGUUUCGGCCACUGUGUGCGGGAAGAUGAGAGGUCGAGGUACGGGAUUUAUUUGAUCACUCUAGUUUUUCUUUUUCAACUUAAUAAUUCUGUGGAUCCCUGUGUAUUUAUUUGAAUCCUGUAUGUUUACGUAGGAUUUUAUGCUGCACUGAUAUUUUAUAUGCACUGAUCUACGGCCGCUAUCUCCUGUUUAUUAUCUACUUCACAUAGGUUAUAUAUAUGAUCUUGUUUCCACUUGUUGGUGCUUGUAUAGAUAUUUUCAUUGGAUCCUUGUGUCAUAUUUAGUCUGUCUAUUUGGCAGUUGGCACUUGCUAUUCGCUAAUAUAGGAAGGUAAUCAGAUAACCAUAGAAUACGAAGUCAUACAAAAUGAUCAGAAAUCAGAAGCUGCCAUGUUGUUGUUGUUACAAGCUAGCCUAUGCUUGGAGAGACAAGCCUGCAGUGUGGCAUUAACACUGCAAGAUUGAGUGGUGGUUUGGAAAAUCUAAGCGUCUUGGGGAUAGAUUUAUUGUACCAUGGUUGGGUUGUGUAAUAAGGAUGAAAAUCAGCGAUAAUGACCAAACAUUCGUAAGAUGAGACUUUUCGAACUGGAUAAAUCACAUUCAAAUGCUCAGAUCUGUAAAUUGUGAAUUUUAAUAUAUUUAUUAAAGCCAGCACUUAUUCACCCAAAGAAAGCGAUGUUGGUGAAGACUUUAAACGGUGGACCGCAAACGAACGUGGCAACCUCAUCCUACUGUGUGUGUCCUCUCGUUGUACUAGAGUCUAGAUGAGUCUUGUACCUCUUCUGCAUACAUCAUAUCAACAAAAGUUGAUUUUGCUCGAAUCAAGCUUAGGGGGUGUUUGGUUCAGGGACUUUUUAGUCCCAGAGACUAGAAAAAGUCCCUAAAAAGUCCCUAAAAACCAAACAGGAUGGACUUUUUCUACAGGGACUAGAAAAAGACUCUAUUGGAGAGUCUUUUUUGAUUAGUCCUGGGACUGGAAAAAGUCCUAGGACUUCUAAACCAAACACCACCUUAUAUGUCAGCAAAGACCAUUUAGCUCAGGAGCUGACACCACAUAAAUUUAUUCUGCGUAAAUCAACCUGACCGUAGAUUGUCCUGCUGGUAUUUGCAUUGUUCAAUAGUCUCUAAGGUUAACCACUCCCUCUUGCAAGUAAUAGUAAAGUUGGUCCCAUGGGCCCAUGCAAGUCAAGGUAGUUUGUGAGUUUAUUUGAGACAUCAGGUCCUCCAAGUAGUUGUUUCUUUGAUUCUAGAACAGUGCAUGGUGCAGUUAACCAGCUAGCAGACCCUCUCGUGAAUCACUGCUGAUCUGGUCGAGUGCCAGAACGCAGCAAUGAAUCCAUACCAUAGAAUCACGGAGGGGAGGGGUCGGACAUUCAUGUAGGUCCUGCGAGAAAUUAUGGUGUGGCGCACCAAGCUUGACUUUGACAACUUGUCUGUGCAGCAGUAGCAAUUGGCACAUGUAGGUUCCACGGGGCACUCAGCGAGAUUCAAUCUUAACGUGACAUUUAGGCCGACCUUUUAUUAUGGAUCGCUGGUGAGUGUCCUUCCCAUGCUCCUCUUGCCGG
RNAcentral lists this long non-coding RNA (3120 nucleotides) under Triticum aestivum (bread wheat). RNAcentral's name for it is "long non-coding RNA (TAES_LNC010044)". The record is from RNAcentral. Lineage: Eukaryota; Viridiplantae; Streptophyta; Magnoliopsida; Poales; Poaceae.